CUUCACUAUCUCUUCUCUCGUCUUCUUCAAGCAGCACUACAACGAUGAUUUCUUUUUCUCUCAUCCAUGGCUUCCACCCUCCUCUCAGAUUUCUUUAGACUCCUAGAGGUUAGCUAUGGAAAUUGGAGAAUCCACAGAUGUUGAUGUGUGAAAGAAUGCGCUCACGCCUAAUAAGGCUAUUAUAUAUCAGAAGUUUGGUAAUGAGGCAUUCUUUAAAGUUGAGGAAGUACAGGAUCUAACCAAAAUGAAUGCCCGGUAUUGGCUAUUAUACAGAGAGGUCCUUGCCUGUACCGUUGCUCAUUGCAGCUUCCUGGAAUUUCUGUUAGCUCUGGAACUUUUAAAAAGAAGAAGGAGCUAAGCAAUCGGCCUCAGAAUUCAAACACUAACUAUUAUAAUUGAAUGCAAUAUCUAUGGUUAUAGUAUCAACUUACAAGUGUUUUUUUCAGUUGCAAAUAAGGAAACAAUUACACCAUCCAAGCGAAAGACAAACCCUUGUGUAAUGUUGAGUCUUCUUUAAAUUAUGAUAAAGCCAUGAUUUCACAGAACCUGAUUGCAAAGAUAGAACAAGAGAAAAUUAAAGUUGAACCUUCAGGUGUGUUUAUGAUUCAAGAAUAAUGUAAAACAUUCUUAAGAAAAGUUAGCUUACAUUUUGUUUAUAAAUUAAGGUACUAAUAAGAGGCCUUCAACUUCAGGACUUAGCAGAGCUUUUGAAUCAGCAUAUUCCAUUUACUUUUGGAAUGCAUUAUUUUGAGGAAAAGACACAAACUGUGAUGCUUUGGGUUGGUGAGAAAUAUUUGGUAUGUGAUAAAUCAGAAUAUAAGUUUUCUGGGUAGACGACUCUCUUCAGCCAAGAGAUGUAUGCAUCUUUGAGCUGAUUAAGAGAAAUCAAUCUAGGAUGAAAGUUUACAUAUUUAGACAAUCUGGUUUGGCUCAAGAGUAGUAAUUGUUGUACACUUGUGAUUAUGCAAAUCUUAAGAAUCAUUUUGGGAUAAACGAAUUUUCCACUUAUAUACAG
Molecule: long non-coding RNA, 1015 nt
Organism: Humulus lupulus (European hop)
Lineage: Eukaryota; Viridiplantae; Streptophyta; Magnoliopsida; Rosales; Cannabaceae
Exons: 3
Source: RefSeq, a predicted model, not a curated record